CACGUUGUGGCGCUGGCAGACAUGGGCAAUUGCGAACAGUUCCAUGUCGACGAUGUCGAUGUUGUUCUCGACCAGCCACGGAUCGACGGAGGUCACGAAGCUGUCGCCGGUGCCGCAGACAACGGUCCCGUGACCGGACGACAGCCGGUCCAUCUCCGGCGAGAACGGCGUGCGCCCGCGCGGCGCCAGCGGCAUCGCUUCCAUGUCGCGCUGAACCGUGUGCGCGACCUCCACGAGACCGUUGUGGAUGUGCGCGAUCUUGCCCGCGGUGCCGUAGUUGAUGAUCAGCUUCGGUUGCAACGCCAUGACCGCCAGCG
Molecule: unclassified non-coding RNA, 317 nt
Filed under: Hevea brasiliensis (rubber tree)
Lineage: Eukaryota; Viridiplantae; Streptophyta; Magnoliopsida; Malpighiales; Euphorbiaceae
Source: RNAcentral